This 511-nucleotide ribosomal RNA is filed under the name Solanderia ericopsis. RNAcentral describes it as "partial 16S ribosomal RNA". It matches the Rfam family "Bacterial large subunit ribosomal RNA", at positions 1842 to 2538 of the family's 2925-position model. The record is from RNAcentral. Lineage: Eukaryota; Metazoa; Cnidaria; Hydrozoa; Anthoathecata; Hydractiniidae.
UCAAUAAAGGUGUUCCUGCCCAUGGUUUAUAAAUAAAGAAUAAAAGUACUAUAAUUAAACUAAAAGGACGCGGUAUCCUGACCGUGAUAAUGUAGCAUAAUCAUUCGCCAUUUAAUUGAUGGAUAGUAUGAAUGGUAUAACGAAUACAUCACUGUCUCAAAAAAAAUUCUUAUGAAAUUAGAAUAAUAGUAAAGAUACUAUUUAAGACUGUAAGACGAGAAGACCCUAUAGAGCUUAACUAUAACUCUUUACAAUAGUAUAAAUUUAUUUAUGCUGUCAAAGAGAUAGGUAGUUUAGUUGGGGCGACUGCUUUCUAAAAUUAACGAAAGUAAGCAAUAUUAAUAAUUUAAUUUACUGUUUAAUUUAUAAAUUUAACAGUUAUAAAAAUAGGCUAUAAUGACCCGUUAUUUAUAAGUAAUAACAAUAACGAUCAGUAAAUAAAAGCUACCUUAGGGAUAACAGGAUAAUCUGUCUAGAGAUCUAUCGAACAGUAUCACCUCGAUGUGAUAUG